RNAcentral lists this ribosomal RNA (465 nucleotides) under Vreelandella stevensii. RNAcentral describes it as "partial 16S ribosomal RNA". It matches the Rfam family "Bacterial small subunit ribosomal RNA", at positions 338 to 795 of the family's 1533-position model. The record is from RNAcentral. Lineage: Bacteria; Pseudomonadati; Pseudomonadota; Gammaproteobacteria; Oceanospirillales; Halomonadaceae.
CCUACGUGCGGCAGCAGUGGGGAAUAUUGGACAAUGGGCGAAAGCCUGAUCCAGCCAUGCCGCGUGUGUGAAGAAGGCCUUCGGGUUGUAAAGCACUUUCAGUGGGGAAGAAAGCCUUGGGGCUAAUACCCUCGAGGAAGGACAUCACCCACAGAAGAAGCACCGGCUAACUCCGUGCCAGCAGCCGCGGUAAUACGGAGGGUGCGAGCGUUAAUCGGAAUUACUGGGCGUAAAGCGCGCGUAGGCGGUCUGAUAAGCCGGUUGUGAAAGCCCCGGGCUCAACCUGGGAACGGCAUCCGGUACUGUCAGGCUAGAGUGCAGGAGAGGAAGGUAGAAUUCCCGGUGUAGCGGUGAAAUGCGUAGAGAUCGGGAGGAAUACCAGUGGCGAAGGCGGCCUUCUGGACUGACACUGACGCUGAGGUGCGAAAGCGUGGGUAGCAAACAGGAUUAGAUACCCCUGUAGUC